RNAcentral lists this ribosomal RNA (529 nucleotides) under Maribacter sp. Asnod2G06. RNAcentral describes it as "bacterial SSU rRNA". The stretch from base 1 to 475 matches the Rfam family "Bacterial small subunit ribosomal RNA", at positions 394 to 873 of the family's 1533-position model. The record is from RNAcentral. Lineage: Bacteria; Pseudomonadati; Bacteroidota; Flavobacteriia; Flavobacteriales; Flavobacteriaceae.
AUGCCGCGUGCAGGAAGAUGCCCUAUGGGUAGUAAACUGCUUUUAUACGGGAAGAAAAAAGAGUACGUGUACUCUACUGACGGUACCGUAAGAAUAAGGACCGGCUAACUCCGUGCCAGCAGCCGCGGUAAUACGGAGGGUCCGAGCGUUAUCCGGAAUUAUUGGGUUUAAAGGGUCCGUAGGCGGGCCGAUAAGUCAGGGGUGAAAGUUUGCAGCUCAACUGUAAAAUUGCCUUUGAUACUGUUGGUCUUGAGUUAUAGUGAAGUUGCCGGAAUAUGUAGUGUAGCGGUGAAAUGCAUAGAUAUUACAUAGAACACCGAUUGCGAAGGCAGGUGACUAACUAUAUACUGACGCUGAUGGACGAAAGCGUGGGGAGCGAACAGGAUUAGAUACCCUGGUAGUCCAUCAGCGUCAGUAUAUAGUUAGUCACCUGCCUUCGCAAUCGGUGUUCUAUGUAAUAUCUAUGCAUUUCACCGCUACACUACAUAUUCCGGCAACUUCACUAUAACUCAAGACCAACAGUAUCAAA